UCUCCAAGAUCCUCGCUGGUUUGGACAUGGAGUACAAUCCGGUCGUUUCCGCACUUGCUGCUUGUGUGGAACCCAUCACCGUCCAGGAGCUGUACAUCCAGCUACUGAGCU
This 111-nucleotide non-coding RNA is filed under the name Triticum aestivum (bread wheat). RNAcentral describes it as "Small nucleolar RNA Z247". It matches the Rfam family "Small nucleolar RNA Z247", at positions 23 to 133 of the family's 139-position model. Rfam says of the family: Z247 is a member of the C/D class of snoRNA which contain the C (UGAUGA) and D (CUGA) box motifs. Most of the members of the box C/D family function in directing site-specific 2'-O-methylation of substrate RNAs. Lineage: Eukaryota; Viridiplantae; Streptophyta; Magnoliopsida; Poales; Poaceae. The record is from Rfam by way of RNAcentral. RNAcentral also lists the same sequence under 1 other name.